This 837-nucleotide ribosomal RNA is filed under the name uncultured marine group I thaumarchaeote. Its description in RNAcentral is "SSU rRNA". It matches the Rfam family "Archaeal small subunit ribosomal RNA", at positions 39 to 882 of the family's 1478-position model. Lineage: Archaea; Thermoproteati; Nitrososphaerota. The record is from RNAcentral.
UGAUACUAAGCCAUGCGAGUCAUUGUAGCAAUACAAGGCAGACGGCUCAGUAACGCGUAGUCAACCUACCCUAUGGACGGGAAUAACCUCGGGAAACUGAGUAUAAUGCCCGAUAGAACAUUAUGCCUGGAAUGGUUUAUGUUCCAAAUGAUUUAUCGCCGUAGGAUGGGACUGCGGCCUAUCAGUUUGUUGGUGAGGUAAUGGCCCACCAAGACUAUUACAGGUACGGGCUCUGAGAGGAGUAGCCCGGAGAUGGGUACUGAGACACGGACCCAGGCCCUAUGGGGCGCAGCAGGCGAGAAAACUUUGCAAUGUGCGAAAGCACGACAAGGUUAAUCCGAGUGGUUUCUGCUAAAGGAACCUUUUGUUAGUCCUAAAAACACUAACGAAUAAGGGGUGGGCAAGUUCUGGUGUCAGCCGCCGCGGUAAAACCAGCACCUCAAGUGGUCAGGAUGAUUAUUGGGCCUAAAGCAUCCGUAGCCUGCUCUGUAAGUUUUCGGUUAAAUCUGUAUGCUCAACAUACAGGCCGCCGGAAAUACUGCAGGGCUAGGGAGUGGGAGAGGUAGACGGUACUCGGGAGGAAGUGGUAAAAUGCUUUGAUCUUUCGAUGACCACCUGUGGCGAAGGCGGUCUACCAGAACACGUCCGACGGUGAGGGAUGAAAGCUGGGGGAGCAAACCGGAUUAGAUACCCGGGUAGUCCCAGCCGUAAACUAUGCAAACUCAGUGAUGCAUUGGCUUGUGGCCAAUGCAGUGUUGCAGGGAAGCCGUUAAGUUUGCCGCCUGGGAAGUACGUACGCAAGUAUGAAACUUAAAGGAAUUGGCGGGGGAGCACCAC